GUAAAAUCAUUUGUAUGACUGAAUUACAUGUUAAGUCAUUGUAAAGAUGCAAUUGGAUGGUCCUACUACUCUGGUGGCGUGAAUGACACGAAUUGGGCGGGAGCUAAAAAUGUCUCAGCUUGAGUGGAUAUUCAGCGCAAAGGUUGCCAGGUAGCAUAUGAAAAUGGACGAUUGUUCACUGGUAUCUAAAAUGGAGGACAAACUAAUCAUGUCGGUGUGUGGGUGCCCCGAAUUAUACGAUACCUUUUCUUUCAAUUACCGAAACCAGAAUAAAAAGGAGCUCGCCUGGAGGCAGGUGAGUGAGGAGGUCGGAUUACCUGGUAAAUUGUGAAAAACUUUUGUCUAUCACUUGAUCCCACUAGUUGAAUUGGCAGGGAUUACUGUUGAAAUUACCAUUGGCACACAAAUGAAGCAUGUAAAUACUAUUCAUUCACACGUCUAGAUUCACAUGAAUUAAGCGAGUCGAUGAUUUUACUUGUCCUUGGUGUGGGUGCCCCAUAAGGGAGCUGGUCUCCCCAGGUGUUUUUAAAAGCUGUGGAGGAAGAUGCAUCAGGCUCGGAUGGUUUGCAUGAAAGUUUCUGUUGUAUGACCCUGAACAUGUUUCAGAAUCAGAAUCAGAAUCAGAAUCAGAAUGCCUUUUAUUGUCAUUAUACGCAGUACAAUGAGAUUAAAGCCACCCAUAUCAGUGCAAGACAUUAUAAAAAGACAGAUAAAAAGUAUAGAAAAUAUGAAACAAGAUUAAUAUGAAGUAUAUACAAUGUAAACGUGUGGACCUGAGAUUCUUUUGACAGGAUAAAUAUGGUACGGAUGUGCAUAGGUGUAAAAUGUAACAGUAUAAAAUAUAAAGUGCACAGUCCUGAGAUCCUAAUUAACGGAAUAAAUAUGGUAAAUAUACAGAAAUAACAUAAAUGUAAUGUGCAAAUGAAUCUAUAUUGUCCUUCAGUGAUUUGGAAUAUUGCACAUGUUUAGGUAUAUAGAAGUAGAAAUAUGCAAUAUGCAUUUUUUAACAGUGUAUGUGUAUGACUGUAACUUUGUUGGAAUCUGCUGCUGCUGUCUCGGCCAGGCCAGUCUUGUAAAAAUCAAUCAAUCAAUCAAACUUUAUUUACGGUCUCUCUCUCUCUCUCUAAUUGUUGCUUUAUAUUGUAUUGCAGGUAUUGUAUUGGUGAUCAGCCUCAGUUCGAUAACGCGGCUGCCUGACAGUAACAGAACUAUUAUGCUCUCCAUCUGCUCAACUGGGACUAUGUGCAGGACAGAGCAACCUUCAACUCUCCAUGAAGAAAAUCAGCAGAGAACAGAGCGUUCACUUAAACCCCUGAAGCCAAAGUGAUCACAGUUCUUUAUUGCAGGUUUCUGGAAGCUGUUGAGUCUUUUUGUGGUUGUAUUUUAUUGUCAUAGCAAAGAGACACAUUUAAAACAAAACAACAAAGGAUCAGAUGAGGAUACACUGUGAAACCAAACAGAGCAAACAAACCGUGUUAAUGUGCAACUUCAGUUUCUACAUUCCCGUAUAGGCAGUGAUAGGGAGUGAUCUCCUGCUGUGUACUGUUGCUAAGAAACCGCACAGGAGCCUCGACUUUCCUUGUUUGCAGCAUUUUGCUGCAGUAUCCUCAUCCUCAUGCGAUGCUGGGCUCCUAUGGAGGAUCACUUACAGCAGACACGCAGACAGCUGAAAGAAAGGUUAUUACUCAACAGAAAAUAAAGGUCCCAUUUGCAGUCAGACGUCCCACUUAAUCACAGUAGAACUGCCAAUGAUGAAGGUCAAGGACGACAAUCUCUGCAUCCUAUGAUGUUCUCCUCUAGCACAAGAUUAUGACAACAUCAGAGGAAUUGUAUCAAACCCUUCGAUUUAAAAUGCAUGCCACAUUUUUUAAAAAAAAUAUUUCAUGUAAACAUUUUCCAUUCCAACAGACAGGCACAAGGACAAGAAGACUUAAUAGUCACAUUCAGUGCAAAGUUGACAGAUGUCAGCAAAAAUUUAAGGAAAACAGCUUCUCGACCAUAACAUCCUGAAUAGAAAACAAAAUACAAGACAAAUUUAAAUAAAACAUGAUUAGAAGAACAGAACAAAGCAAGAAAACAAACAAAUAACAA
This is a non-coding RNA of Xyrichtys novacula (pearly razorfish), 2091 nucleotides long. Lineage: Eukaryota; Metazoa; Chordata; Actinopteri; Labriformes; Labridae. The record is from the annotation of a GenBank genome assembly.